This 197-nucleotide ribosomal RNA is filed under the name uncultured bacterium. Its description in RNAcentral is "partial 16S ribosomal RNA". It matches the Rfam family "Bacterial small subunit ribosomal RNA", at positions 328 to 539 of the family's 1533-position model. The record is from RNAcentral.
ACGCUCGACACCUACGGGAGCAGCAGUGGGGAAUAUUGCACAAUGGGGGAAACCCUGAUGCAGCGACGCCGCGUGAGUGAAGAAGUAUUUCGGUAUGUAAAGCUCUAUCAGCAGGGAAGAAAAUGACGGUACCUGACUAAGAAGCCCCGGCUAACUACGUGCCAGCAGCCGCGGUAAUCUGAGGCGGCUGGCAAGGC